UACAGAGGGGGCAAGCGUUGUUCGGAAUUACUGGGCGUAAAGGGCUCGUAGGCGGCCAACUAAGUCGGAUGUGAAAUCCCCAGGCUCAACUUGGGAACUGCAUCCGAUACUGGAUGGCUUGAAUUCGGGAGAGGGAUGCAGAAUUCCAGGUGUAGCGGUGAAAUGCGUAGAUAUCUGGAGGAAUACCGGUGGCGAAGGCGGCGUCCUGGACCGACAUUGACGCUGAGGAGCGAAAGCUAGGGGAGCAAACGGG
This 253-nucleotide ribosomal RNA is filed under the name uncultured bacterium. Its description in RNAcentral is "partial 16S ribosomal RNA". It matches the Rfam family "Bacterial small subunit ribosomal RNA", at positions 524 to 776 of the family's 1533-position model. The record is from RNAcentral.